ACGCUCGACACCUACUGGAGGCAGCAGUGGGGAAUAUUGCACAAUGGGGGAAACCCUGAUGCAGCGACGCCGCGUGAGUGAAGAAGUAUUUCGGUAUGUAAAGCUCUAUCAGCAGGGAAGAAGAUGACGGUACCUGAGUAAGAAGCCCCGGNUAACUACGUGCCAGCAGCCGCGGUAAUCUGAGCGGGCUGGCAAGGC
Molecule: ribosomal RNA, 198 nt
Filed under: uncultured bacterium
Lineage: Bacteria
Description: partial 16S ribosomal RNA
Rfam family: Bacterial small subunit ribosomal RNA
Source: RNAcentral